Molecule: ribosomal RNA, 384 nt
Filed under: Triticum aestivum (bread wheat)
Lineage: Eukaryota; Viridiplantae; Streptophyta; Magnoliopsida; Poales; Poaceae
Description: partial small subunit ribosomal RNA
Source: RNAcentral
AUGGAGCUGCAUCCAGACGCCCCGUCGGCGCCGGUGCCAUCAGGGAGGGACUGGUCGGAGCUGCCUCUCGAUGUGCUUACUUCGGUCUUCGCGGGGCUCGGCGCCGUCGAGGUUCUCAUGGGCGCUGGCUUUGUGUGCCACUCAUGGCUAGAGGCGGCCAAGGCGCCUGGGCUCUGGCGCAAGGUGGACAUGGGGCGCGGGCCGCGGGACAAGGAGGUGGUGGAGAAGAAAGGAGGUAUUGAUUCAGACGACCCAAACCACUUGAGCAAGAGCGCACAGGUGAUGUGCGCAAUGGCGAAGGUGGCCGUGGACCGAUCCGACGGGAAGCUGCAAGUGUUUGUGGGGGCGAACUUUGUUACUGAUGAGAUCCUCAAUUACAUCGGG